AACAUCGCGCACCUGCGGGAACCUGCGGAAGGAUCAUUACCGAGUUUACAAACUCCCAAACCCUUUGUGAACCUUACCUAUCGUUGCUUCGGCGGGAUCGCCCCGGGCCGGCCCUUCACGGGGCCUCCGGAACCAGGCGCCCGCCGGAGAACCCAAACUCUUUGUUUUUAUGGUUUUCUCCUCUGAGUGGAUUAUAAACAAAUAAAUCAAAACUUUCAGCAACGGAUCUCAGAUCGGAAG
Molecule: unclassified non-coding RNA, 240 nt
Filed under: soil metagenome
Description: partial contains 5.8S ribosomal RNA, internal transcribed spacer 2, and large subunit ribosomal RNA
Source: RNAcentral